RNAcentral lists this small RNA (596 nucleotides) under Pan troglodytes (chimpanzee). RNAcentral describes it as "processed transcript". Lineage: Eukaryota; Metazoa; Chordata; Mammalia; Primates; Hominidae. The record is from RNAcentral.
AAGGGGGUGAAGAGAACCAGGAAGCUAAACUUUAAAAUGGAGAAUCAAAGAAUAAGAGAGCUGAACAUACUGACAUACUGAUUCUUUGAAGAGAAACUUGGGGUUCACUAUAUUUAACAGGAUCAAAGACACUCCUAGAAUAUGCAGAGAAAUGGAAAACUUCAGAAGAUCCCUUACCUUUAUUGGAGGUAUACACAGUGGCUAUCCAAAGUUAUGUUAAAGCCCGACCUUAUCUUACCUCUGAAUGUGAAAAUGUAGCCUUGGUUCUGGAACGCUUGGCAUUAAGCUGUGUUGAACUUUUACUGUGUCUGCCUGUUGAGUUAUCAGAUAAACAGUGGGAACAAUUUCAGACACUGGUGCAGGUAGCUCAUGAAAAGCUGAUGGAGAAUGGCAGCUGUGAAUUGCAUUUUUUAGCUACUCUAGCUCAAGAGACUGGGGUGUGGAAAAACCCGGUACUGUGCACUAUUCUUUCCCAGGAACCAUUGGAUAAGGAUAAAGGAUUCCAUCCAGGAUACCACAUUACAUUUAGUCGUCAUGUCUCCUUAGGCUCCUCUUGGCUGUGACAGUUUUUCAGACUUUCCUUGUUUUUGAUGACC